ACGGAAGGCAGCAGUGGGGGAUAUUGCACAAUGGGGGAAACCCUGAUGCAGCGACGCCGCGUGAGGGAAGAAGGUUUUCGGAUUGUAAACCUCUGUCUUCAGGGACGAUAAUGACGGUACCUGAGGAGGAAGCCACGGCUAACUACGUGCCAGCAGCCGCGGUAAUACGUAGGUGGCGAGCGUUGUCCGGAAUUACUGGGUGUAAAGGGAGCGUAGGCGGGUAUGCAAGUUGAAUGUGAAAUCUAUCGGCUCAACUGAUAGGCUGCGUUCAAAACUGUAUAUCUUGAGUGAAGUAGAGGCAAGCGGAAUUCCUGGUGUAGCGGUGAAAUGCGUAGAUAUCAGGAGGAACACCGGUGGCGAAGGCGGCUUGCUGGGCUUUUACUGACGCUGAGGCUCGAAAGCAUGGGUAGCAAACAGGAUUAGAUACCCUGGUA
This 434-nucleotide ribosomal RNA is filed under the name uncultured Oscillospiraceae bacterium. RNAcentral describes it as "partial 16S ribosomal RNA". It matches the Rfam family "Bacterial small subunit ribosomal RNA", at positions 341 to 792 of the family's 1533-position model. The record is from RNAcentral. Lineage: Bacteria; Bacillati; Bacillota; Clostridia; Eubacteriales; Oscillospiraceae.